RNAcentral lists this ribosomal RNA (356 nucleotides) under uncultured bacterium. RNAcentral's name for it is "bacterial SSU rRNA". It matches the Rfam family "Bacterial small subunit ribosomal RNA", at positions 30 to 386 of the family's 1533-position model. The record is from RNAcentral.
AUUGAACGCUGGCGGCAUGCCUUACACAUGCAAGUCGAACGGCAGCACGGGAGCAAUCCUGGUGGCGAGUGGCGAACGGGUGAGUAAUAUAUCGGAACGUGCCCAGUCGUGGGGGAUAACGUAGCGAAAGCUACGCUAAUACCGCAUACGAUCUAUGGAUGAAAGCGGGGGAUCGCAAGACCUCGCGCGAUUGGAGCGGCCGAUAUCAGAUUAGGUAGUUGGUGAGGUAAAGGCUCACCAAGCCGACGAUCUGUAGCUGGUCUGAGAGGACGACCAGCCACACUGGGACUGAGACACGGCCCAGACUCCUACGGGAGGCAGCAGUGGGGAAUUUUGGACAAUGGGCGCAAGCCUGA